This 380-nucleotide ribosomal RNA is filed under the name Neisseria flavescens. RNAcentral describes it as "bacterial SSU rRNA". It matches the Rfam family "Bacterial small subunit ribosomal RNA", at positions 98 to 487 of the family's 1533-position model. The record is from RNAcentral. Lineage: Bacteria; Pseudomonadati; Pseudomonadota; Betaproteobacteria; Neisseriales; Neisseriaceae.
GCGAACGGGUGAGUAACAUAUCGGAACGUACCGAGUAAUGGGGGAUAACUAAUCGAAAGAUUAGCUAAUACCGCAUAUUCUCUGAGGAGGAAAGCAGGGGACCUUCGGGCCCUGCGUUAUUCGAGCGGCCGAUAUCUGAUUAGCUAGUUGGUGGGGUAAAGGCCUACCAAGGCGACGAUCAGUAGCGGGUCUGAGAGGAUGAUCCGCCACACUGGGACUGAGACACGGCCCAGACUCCUACGGGAGGCAGCAGUGGGGAAUUUUGGACAAUGGGCGCAAGCCUGAUCCAGCCAUGCCGCGUGUCUGAAGAAGGCCUUCGGGUUGUAAAGGACUUUUGUCAGGGAAGAAAAGGUUGUUGCUAAUAUCGACAGCUGAUGACG